RNAcentral lists this ribosomal RNA (512 nucleotides) under uncultured Desulfobulbus sp. RNAcentral's name for it is "bacterial SSU rRNA". It matches the Rfam family "Bacterial small subunit ribosomal RNA", at positions 903 to 1382 of the family's 1533-position model. The record is from RNAcentral. Lineage: Bacteria; Pseudomonadati; Thermodesulfobacteriota; Desulfobulbia; Desulfobulbales; Desulfobulbaceae.
CGCCUUGCCAGCCCGCUACAGAACUUAAAUGAAUUGACGGGGCCCGGCACAAGCGGUGGAGUAUGUGGUUUAAUUCGAUGCAACGCGAAGAACCUUACCUGGUCUUGACAUCCCGGAGACCCUUAGGGAAACUAGGGGGUGCUUCCAUCUGGAAGAAUCUGGAGACAGGUGCUGCAUGGCUGUCGUCAGCUCGUGUCGUGAGAUGUUGGGUUAAGUCCCGCAACGAGCGCAACCCUUGCCUUUAGUUGCCAGCAGUUCGGCUGGGCACUCUAAAGGGACUGCCGGUGUUAAACCGGAGGAAGGUGGGGAUGACGUCAAGUCCUCAUGGCCUUUAUGACCAGGGCUACACACGUACUACAAUGGCCGAUACAAAGGGCAGCGACACUGCGAGGUGAAGCCAAUCCCGUAAAAUCGGUCUCAGUCCGGAUUGGAGUCUGCAACUCGACUCCAUGAAGUUGGAAUCGCUAGUAAUCGUGGAUCAGCAUGCCACGGUGAAUACGUUCCCGGGCCUU